This 212-nucleotide unclassified non-coding RNA is filed under the name uncultured fungus. RNAcentral's name for it is "sequence contains ITS1, 5.8S rRNA gene". The stretch from base 164 to 212 matches the Rfam family "5.8S ribosomal RNA", at positions 1 to 49 of the family's 154-position model. Lineage: Eukaryota; Fungi. The record is from RNAcentral.
UUUCCGUAGGUGAACCUGCGGAAGGAUCAUUAGUGAAUUUUGGGAGUACCUCUUAAUCGGAGAAGGCCCAGUCCACUUUUUUCAAACCCGAGUGCAUUUGUCCCCUUUUUACCACGCCUAUGCAGUAUAAAACGUUGUGUUACCUUUGAAAUUAUGAAAGAACAACUUUCAGCAAUGGAUCUCUUGGCUCUCGCAUCGAUGAAGAACGCAGC